UACAGAGGUCCCAAGCGUUGUUCGGAUUCACUGGGCGUAAAGGGUGCGUAGGCGGUCUGGUAAGUCUGAUGUGAAAUCUCACAGCUUAACUGUGAAACUGCAUUGGAUACUAUCCGGCUAGAGGAAUGGAGGGGAGACUGGAAUACUUGGUGUAGCAGUGAAAUGCGUAGAUAUCAAGUGGAACACCGGUGGCGAAGGCGAGUCUCUGGACAUUUCCUGACGCUGAGGCACGAAAGCCAGGGGAGCAAACGGG
This 253-nucleotide ribosomal RNA is filed under the name uncultured bacterium. Its description in RNAcentral is "partial 16S ribosomal RNA". It matches the Rfam family "Bacterial small subunit ribosomal RNA", at positions 524 to 776 of the family's 1533-position model. The record is from RNAcentral.